Long non-coding RNA from Coffea eugenioides, 805 nucleotides. RefSeq lists it as uncharacterized. The transcript has 6 exons. NCBI's taxonomy places the organism in Eukaryota, Viridiplantae, Streptophyta, Magnoliopsida, Gentianales, Rubiaceae. The record is from RefSeq and is a predicted model, not a curated record.
CUCACUUUCUCUGCCUCGGACAGAAAGUUGAAGGUUGAAGUUGUGGGUAGUUGCUGAGAAAUGCUGUGUGAGGAAGAAAUUAGAUUGCAGACAAUGGAUUGAAAGUCCACCAGAAGGAGAAAAAGAAUCAACUUUCCAGAUAGGGAACUCAUUUUUCUUUUAAUAAAUUGAGGGAAAACUGGAAGAAAAAUCGACGGGAGGAAGAAAAAAAGAUUUAACUUUUCAAGAUUGAGGAAAAUCACAAGGAAAUACUAAAGGGAGGAGAAAAAGAUUAGCUUUUCAGCAUGGGACUACUCCAAAUGAUAGUUGUGAGAUUGACUUGCAUGAUGUGAAGGAUAUUACCAGUCAUCCAUGCCCCUUACUAUUGCACGAUAUGAGAGUUAAAGCAAAGAGGCUGGGGCUGUUAGCUGAGUCAUAUUUGGAGGGAAAGCAAUCAAUAUACAAAUUGAUUGGCCAAGUGCAGCAUUAAUGGUCCAUUGGGUUUACAAGUUCUUGAUGACAUCCCUGCAGAGAUGCGAGAUUUGUUGGAUGCGUAUGUGUUAGCAAUUGCUUAUUCUCAUUUUGUUUCUAUUUAAGAGAUUAUGACCUCUUCCAAUGUACCCAAAAAAGAAAAAGAAAAAGAAAAAAAUGAGGUUUCUUUAUGAUGUAUAUCCUUGAUAUUUUUUGGAGGAUUUUAUUUUUCUUUUGAUUGGCUUUAUCCCAUAAUGCUGUAAAACCUCUCUAGCAUCAAAGCUGUGCAGAAAUUGUGAGGUCGCUUUCCUCAAAACUCAAAAGACAAGAUAUGUUGAGAAAGAGUUUUUAAUUA